Molecule: unclassified non-coding RNA, 328 nt
Filed under: soil metagenome
Description: partial contains 5.8S ribosomal RNA, internal transcribed spacer 2, and large subunit ribosomal RNA
Rfam family: 5.8S ribosomal RNA (bases 1-120)
Source: RNAcentral
GAUGAAGAACGUAGCGAAAUGCGAUAAGUAAUGUGAAUUGCAGAAUUCAGUGAAUCAUCGAAUCUUUGAACGCACAUUGCGCCCUCUGGUAUUCCGGGGGGCAUGCCUGUUCGAGCGUCAUUAUAACCACUCAAGCUCUCGCUUGGUAUUGGGGUUCGCGGUUCCGCGGCCCCUAAAAUCAGUGGCGGUGCCUGUCGGCUCUACGCGUAGUAAUACUCCUCGCGUCUGGGUCCGGUAGGUCUACUUGCCAGCAACCCCCAAUUUUUACAGGUUGACCUCGGAUCAGGUAGGGAUACCCGCUGAACUUAAGCAUAUCAAUAAGCGGAGA